Molecule: unclassified non-coding RNA, 378 nt
Filed under: Hevea brasiliensis (rubber tree)
Lineage: Eukaryota; Viridiplantae; Streptophyta; Magnoliopsida; Malpighiales; Euphorbiaceae
Source: RNAcentral
GGGGAGACAACUUGUUAAAGGCUAGAAUAAGGGAGAUACCUGCACAAAACAAAUUGCAGUAUCUCUAUUCCCUUUUGUCAGCAGUUCUUCCAGUUGUUAAGCAUAUUCAUAAUCAGCAGUGCUUUGAGGUGGAACUAGAAAAAAGACUACGAGGAAAUGGAAUGGAUCUUUGUCGGACAAAAUUGAAUGCAGAUGAGCAAAUGUGCUGUAAUUUCUGCAGGAUACCAAUUGUUGAUUACCAUAGACACUGCUCAAAUUGCUCAUAUGACCUCUGCCUUAGCUGCUGCAAAGAUCUCAGAGAUGCAACCAAGCUUGUGCAGGAUGACAGGGGUAAGAAAUUCCUAGAAAGAGCUGAUUGCAGAGAAACCACAUCAAAGG